AAUAAAUGUUAGACUCUAAUAAGCAGGUUUAUUGUUAGUAGUAACAUGGAUAAUAUGAUCUUUAAUAUUUAAUAAUUACAAUAUUAAAUGAUAAUAUGAGUAAGUAAAUAUAUCAAGUUUGUUUUAAAUCAAGUGUUUGGCCGUAAAACAGAUACAGGUACAAAGGGAGCCUGGCAGAAUUGUUGUGGCUGAAAUGCUCACAGACCAAGAAGACCAUGGCAAGACGACUAGGAGCCAGCAGAAUGUUGCUCCCACUGGUCAAAUUUAGGACAAUUCAAGCAUCAAAAGAAUAAUAUCUUUCAUUGAUGAUGACACAUUGAAUUUUUAAAGAUGAUUUCAUAGAGGACUUCCACCAUGGGAAGACGGAAUAGACAUGUUCAUUAGUCCUUGCAUUAAGUACAAUAAAAAAUCCUGGACGUCAUACAUAAAACAAACCUAAGAAGACUCAGAAAGCUGGAGAGAAGAAGGCAGAAAGGUAGAGACCUGAGAUCCGAGGCAGCAUAUGGGUGUGAGCUCCUUGGGUCCUCCUUAUGCCUCAUGUAUCCCAGACUUGGAGCUGAAGAAGCCAGAAACCUUGAAACGCCCACGGGCGCAGAUGAGAAGAGGCCCCAACCAAAGCCUCCUCUCUCGAGCCAGAGAGUUAGGGAGGGGCAGCCUGGCAGGACACAGAUCUCUUAGACAAUAACCGCUCUAACCCCACCAAACGCCAUGGAGAACCGUGGCCCCAGCCACACCCGUGAGGCAAAGUCUCAGCAGGGAGCUUAGGUAUCCACCUUCAGACUGUAAAGAGGCCCCAGACCCCCACCCACCCACCAGGUGCUGUCAAAGAAGGCAAAGGAAAGAUCCGGGAAUUUCAACCCUUGUUUUGGCUAGUGCCAUCAACUCCUUAGUGACCCUGGGGACAAGAGGGCAGGACCCUGCCCAGUCUUCUUGCACCAUCCUCUCAUCUCCUGGGCCUGUAUUAGACGAUGCUCUGCUAUUCAUUCAUAGGGUUUUCACCACCAAUUUUUUUGGAAGUGGGUGGCCAGGUCCUUCUUCCUAGUCUGUCUGGGUCUGGAAGCUCCACAGAAACCUGUCCACCCUGGUAGUAUUUGAAAUACUGGUGGCAUAGCUUUCAGCAUCACAGCAACACAGCCACCACAGGAUGACAACCAACAGGUGGGUGGUGUGGUUUCCUGACAGGAAGUGAACCUGGGCCAUGGUGGUGAGAGUCCUAAAUCUUAACCACUGGACCAACACGGCUGGCCAUUUCAACCCUACCUUGUGGUCUCUCAAUAAUAUAUAUUGCUACAAUAUAUUAUCUAAAAUGUCGAGUUACAAAUGAGAAAACUCACAAGAAAUGAAAGAAACACGCAUUCUGAUCCAUAUACCAGAGAAAAAGCAAGCAAAAGAAACUGCCUGUGAGCAUGACCAGGUGUCAGAUUUACCAGCCUUUAAAAUGCCAUUAUACGUGUUUUCAGAGAACUAAAGGAAAGCAUGACUAAAGAAUUAAAGGAAGACGUGAUGAUGAUGUCUCAUCAAUAGAGAAAUCAUUGAAAAGAUGGAAGUUAUUUAAAGAGAAGAAGGAGGAGGAGGACCAAAUGGAAGUUCUGGGGUUAAAAAGUACAAAAACUGGAAAAAAGUUUCAUGAGAGGGGCUCAACAAUGAACUUGAACUGGCAGAAGAAAGAAUCAGCCAAUAUAAAGACAGAUCCAUACAUUAUGCAACUUGACCAAGAGAGAAUAAAAGGGAAUAAGGAAAAACGGACAGAGCCUCAGAGAAACGUGGGACACCAUUAAAUAGAACAACAUAUGUGUAACAGAGUGCCAAAAGGAGAGGUAAGGUAAGAAGCAGGAAAAAAUAUUUUAAGCAAUAAAGGCUGAAAAAUUACCAAACAUACGGCAUAGAGCAUCAUAUCAAUCUACAGCGAUACAAAAAUGUUUUUCUUUGUAUCCUAAUUCUAUAAGCUUUUUUCUACUUUUGAAAUUUUUUUAUUUUUGCUUUUUAAACGUUUUUGUUAAAAACUAAGACACAUUAGCCUAGGCCUAUGCAAGGUCAGGAUCAUCAAUACCACUGUCCUCCACCACCACAUCUUGUCCCCCUGGAAGUUCUUCAAAGGCAAUAACACGCAUGGAGCCGUCAUCCUCUACGUGACAAUGCCUUCUUCUGGAACACCUCCUGAAGGACCUGCCUGGAGGCUCUUCUGGAGGAGGCAUCACGCUUUUCAGAAACAUGUCCAUGGCGGUUUGCUUGAUUUGUCUUUUUUCCUCUUAGAUUUGCUUGAAAGAAGAUAAUGCACCUUGAACAUUCCUCUCUAUUAAUGGAAAGCUUUUGGUUUUGGGAUCCACGUUUUCAAACGUUUUAAGGAGCUUGUUGAGGUCUGCAAAAGCUUCUGCUAAACUCUUUAGUGUGAAUUUUCCAGAGGGUUCUUCUUUUUCUUCCCCUCCAGUUUCCUUUUCUCUUGCCUCUUCUUCACCUACGCAUUCUGUUCCAAUUCUAAUAACUGCUCAUUAGUCAAUUACUCAGGAAUCACAUCGAGGAGUUCCUCAAUAUCAUCCUCAUUCACAUCCAGGUUAAAGUUGUUUGCCAUCUCAACCAUAGCUUUGUAGAUUUCUGCAACCUCUUCAUCCUUGGGAAAUCCUUGGAAGUCAUGGACAAACCUCUUGAGUGUCUUCCUCCAGAUACUAUUAGUACACUUCUUGGUGACAUCACCCUAAGCCCAAGCAAGCUAAUUGAUGGAGUCGUAGAUGUUGUAAUCCUUCCAGAAUGGCAUCAGUGUCUUCGAGAUUAAAUCAAGCACAAGAGAAAAUGAUGCCAACCAGAGACACGGUAAACACGAGAUGGCACAUGGAAAGAUGUUCAACAUCACUAAUUAUUAGGGAAAUGCAAAUGAAAACCACAAUGAGGGGCUGGCCCCGUGGCUGAGUCGUUAAGUUCGCGCGCUCCGCUGCAGGCGGCCCAGUGUUUCGUUGGUUCGAAUCCUGGGCGCGGACAUGGCACUGCUCAUUGAACUACGCUGAGGCAGCGUCCCACAUGCCACAACUAGAAGGACCCACAACGAAGAAUAUACAACUAUGUACCGAGGGGCUCUGGGGAUAAAAAGGAAAAAUAAAAUCUUUAAAAAAAAAAAAACACACAAUAAGAUAUCACCUCCCACCUGUCAGAAGGGCUAUUUUUAAACAGACAAGAAACAACCAGUGUCAUAGAGUAUGUGGAGAAAAGAGAACCCUCAUACACUUCUGGUGGGAAUGUAAAUUGGUGCAGCCACUAUGGAAAACAGUAUAGAGAUCCUUCAAAAUAUUAAAAAGAGAACUACCAUGUGAUCCAGCUUUUCCACUUCUGGGUAUUUAUCCGAGUACAUGAAAACACUAAUUUGAAAAGAUAUCUACACUUUAAUGUUCACUGGAGCAUUACUGACAAUAACGAAGACUUGGAACCAACCCAAGUGCCCAUCAACAGAAGAAUGGAUGAAGAAGAGGUGGUAUAUAUAUACACAAUGGAAUACUACUCAGUCAUAAAAAAGAGGAAAUCUUUCCAUUUGCACAACAUGGAUGGAGCUUGAAGGUACUAUGCUAAGCAAAAUAAAUCAGAUGGAGAAAGUCAAAUACCAUAUGCUCUCACUCAUGUGGAAGAAAAAGGAACAAAUACGUAGGUAUAGAGAAUAGAUUGGUGGUUACCAGAGGGGAAGGGGCUGGAGGGAGAGAAAAAAGGGUAAAGGAAGACAUUUUUAUGGUGACAGAUGCCAACUAGACUUUUGGUAGUGAACACAAUGUAGUCUACACAGAAGUCGAAAUAUAAUAAUGCACACCUGGAAAGUUAUAUAACAUUAUAAACCAACAUUACCUCAAUUUUUUCAAAAAAAAAACAUGAAAUGUAUGAGACUGCUGCCAGCACAAUAGGGCAUACUGUUUUACAGUAAACGUUUUCUGAUAAGUAGAAAGUGUACACUCUAAAAUAAUCAUAAAAAGUAUAAUAUAGUAAAGAUAUAAAGCAGUAACAUACUCGUUUAUCACCACCAAGUAUUCUCUACUGUACAUAAUUGUAUGUGCUAUACUUUUCUACAUCUGGCAGCACAGUAGGUUUAUUUACAUCAGCAUCACCAGAAACACAUGAGGAACACAUUGCACUACAACUUAUGAUGGCUGCAACAUCACAGGUGAUAGAAAUUUUUCAGCACCCUUCUAAGCGUAUGAGACCAUCAGCGUAUGUGUGGUCCAUGAUUGACUGAAAUGUUGUUAUGUGGCACAUGACUAAUGAAGAAUAUUAAUCAGCCCAUCCAGGAAGCCAAAGAAACUGCAAGGAGGAUAAACACAAAGAUCUACAAAUAGACAUAUCAUAGUAAAAAUGGUGAGAGCCAAAGAGAAGAGGAAAAUCUCAAGAGCAGCAAGAGAAAAAUGGCUUUUUGCUUACAAGGAAAGCCCCAUGCAGCUAACAGCUGCCUUCUCAUCAGAAACAGUAGAGGCCAAAAGGCAUAGCAUAAUAUGGUAAAGCAGCUAAAAAAAUAAACUGUCAACCAAGGAUCCUAUAUCCAGAAAAUUUCUUGCCAGCAGACUGGCCUUACAAGAAACACUAAAAUGAAGUUGUGGUGAUAUCACCAAAGUGGCGGAGUAGGCGACCCUCGCCUCUAUCCCACCAUUAAGAUCAACAAUUAGACAGCUAUCCACAAAAACAGAAAUCACUCUGGGAGAACUCAGAAGUCCAUUUAAGAAACUUCAGCGACAUGAUGGAACUGAAAACAUGAGGAUACCCGUACGAAAAGUGAAAGAAGGCAGCUUUAUUUUGCCUGCAUCAUUCCAUCCCCCAAGCCAGCACUGCUCAACACGAAAAGGAAGCUCCCCAGCCAGAAAUAGUUCCCCUCUCUGAGAAACAGAGAGUGGGAUGAGUGACCAGCAUCCACGGCCUUUCAGGGCACCGCAUAAAGGACCUGCUUUGGUUUGAUCCCACCCAGAGGCCAGCACAGCUGAGCUGUAUGGAGACCACCAGUAUCAGCUAUGUGGCAGGAGCGACCCACAGUCCCCUGUAACCUGCUCUGCAGAGAAUCCCAGCAGCUUUUACCACUGAGAAACCCCAGCCAGCACAGCCAUUACGGAUCACCUGCAGAUUUCACAAGUUUCUGCCCCACAGAUUUUCAUAUUAGCAGAACCCAGCCACCUGACUCUUGUCCUGCUUCCUCCCCUACCAGAGCCUGGCAUCCACACUGGCAGCCAGCCCCAGCCUCUGUGACGGUGCAAGUGUAAGACACUAGCCUAGACUCCCAUGGCUAGCCCCCACUGCUGUGCAUGUGCUGAGGGCUAGCCUCUCCAGCCAUGCACCUGCAUGCUACCAACCUGCCUCCCAUCACAGGCCUCCACUGCCAUGUGAAUACUAUGGCACAACCCUGCAGCCAAGUGCAUGCAAGCCAACAGCCAAGGCCUCGACAGCUGCUUCUGGUCUUGAUUUGGACCUAUGUCCAGUCACGGGCCUGUACUGCUGGGAUUCCCUGCAGCUAGGCCCUCCAGCUAUGCACCUGCACUCUGCUGGAUCAAGUUCUGUCACCUGCCUCCACUGCCAUGGGCCCAUUGCAAGACCCUACAGCACAGGCGUGCACACCACAACAGCCAGGGCCCCUACAGCUGCUUGUCUGCCUGGAUCUGACUUUGACUUCUGUCACUGGCCUGCACCACUGAUCUCACCUACAGCUGGCCCAUCUACCUGUACAACUGCACCACACCAGCCUGACACCUGUCACCAGCCUCCCCUACUGCACACAUGCCUAUGGUGAAACCCUGCACCGGAGGAGUACAUGCCAACAGCGAAGUCCCCCACAGCUAUAAGUGCAACCAUGGUUGGUCCCAGCCCUUGCUGCUGGCACUGGCCCACACCACUACAUUAUGCGUUUCUGCAACAGCCCCUCCCAUGACACAGGCACCUGAAGGUGGCCCCCACAGCUGAGUGUGUCUACAAGAACACUACUGAACACCAGCAUUGCCUGCCCUGGUCCCUAGCCACGGGACCUACAGGUGCUGCUAAAGACCCCAAUAGCUCUUUCAGCUAUAUCACAGCCCCCACGGCACUUGCCAGGCCCAAGACAUUGGCAACAUUGUGUACUCCAGCAGCCUGAGCCAAUGAGACAUCACACCACCCCUGGACCCAGAGCCACAAUAUGCUCCUGCACUUACUUCCCUGCACCACGAGAUCUGGAGUCACAGCAUGCUCCAAUGUGCCCCACCCACAGGUGAGUCUUUUCUUACUGAAGUCAUUCCAUAAAGUCAGAAAGAGGGGACUGCUUCUUCAAAUGCACAGACACUUAUGUAAGGCUACAGGAAUCACAAAGAAUUAGGGAAAUACAACACCCCCAAGGAAACACAA
Molecule: long non-coding RNA, 6327 nt
Organism: Equus caballus (horse)
Lineage: Eukaryota; Metazoa; Chordata; Mammalia; Perissodactyla; Equidae
Source: Ensembl